Onychostoma macrolepis is the source of this 3344-nucleotide RNA transcript. It is a transcript of the gene named mirror-image polydactyly 1, with no coding region annotated. The record is from RefSeq and is a predicted model, not a curated record. The transcript is spliced from 16 exons. NCBI's taxonomy places the organism in Eukaryota, Metazoa, Chordata, Actinopteri, Cypriniformes, Cyprinidae.
GUUUAUCUUGAAACACAGUAUCCACGUCAACACACCAUCAGCACUGGUUCCUGUCGCAGAGUCCUGGGUCAGUGCUAUGAUCUGUGAGGCAGCGGUGAGCGGCCUCUAGUGGUCAGACGCAGCGGCGGGCCGGAAUGAAGCGUGACUCCGCGCACUGUAAUAGGAAGUUCCCCUCCAAAACUUUUAGGAAACAAUCCUGUCCGGUCUACACCAAAUGAACGCCGACACCAUAAUCCUAAUCAUGGGAAAGCUUCUCAGGAAGUGAAGAGGAACUGCAUCAGCUGUCAUGGAUGCACAAACAGGAACUGAAGGAUUCACUGGUUGAUAUGUACAAAGCUAAUCCUAAAGUCAAUGAAGAACUGAAACAAAGGCUGCCGUCCCCUGUAAAGCACCAUUGUUCAGAGACCACACCACAACUUGGAUUCUCUUUAGGAGAAACUACUUCAGCUACAUCCCAAUGUCAGAGUUUAUCAAAAGCCCUGGAGGAGAAACUCACACAAGUAUCUAAGACUCCCAGGCCCAGAGAAGGUUUGACGCUCAGACUCCCUCCACCCCCACCCGUGCCAGGCCCAGUUUCAGCUGAAGUGAGAAUCAUGGAGGAGGAGAGACGGUCUCCACAGAGACCCACAGCACAGCAGGAGCAGGAUAUUAACGAGACAGCCAGCAGUCCGGUCCACACACCUCGCGUCAGCAGGGCAGGGUCUGCCGCGCUCAGGCAUGCUCAAGCUCACGAGGACCAGGGAAAUUCCAAAGUUAUCAGCGACUCCAAAAAACAAGUACCAGUUCUGGAUAAAGAGAAAAACAUUGCCUUUCUCUUAAAGGAGCUGGAUUCUCUUAGAGAACUCAAUAAGAAGUUCCAGGAGAAGUUGGCGCUGAAGGAGAAGGAGUUGGAAACCAAGCUUCUGGACUCUCAGCUACAGGAGACUGAGCUGGAGGCGCGUGCCAGUGAGAGAGCAGCAGCGUUAGUCGAGGAAAUCUAUAAGGCUCAGAGGGAGAGAGACCAGGCUGUGAUGGCCAGACUGCGUCUGGCUAACGAGGAGAGGGAUGAAGCUUUACUUCGGGCCAAGAAGCUUCAGGAGGCGACGCUGGAGCUGGAGAAUAUUAAACCUGAAGAAAGUGAUGUGGACCUGGAAGAGUUGUUGAACAGGGUUAACAGCGCGGACUCUGCCCUUGCUAUCGAGCAGAGCGGGGCGGCCAUCAUCGAACAGAUCCAGAGGGCCAGAGAGCGUCGCUCCCAGAUCACCUCAGAGGAGAUGAAAGCCGUCAUAGAAGAGAGAGACGCUGCUUUAACCAGGUGCAAGCGUCUGGAACAAGAGCUUCUUCGUGUGAAAGAGCCGUGCCAUAAUUCUGCAAACAGCACCCGCCACCUGGCUGCCCAAAACAAUCGGGAACGAGCGAGCAAGCUUGAGGAGGAGCUUCAAGAAGCUCAGAGAGAACGAGAUAAAGCCCUGCUGCACAGUCACACAGUGGAAGAGGAGCUGCAAACCUUACGCAGGUAUCACAGUGUGCUACAGCAUCAGGCUGAUGAGACCAGUCUGGACAGUCCUGCCACCUCAAGCCAGAGCCAGACCCAGAUUCAGCCUCUGCUGCACCGUCUGCAGCAGCUGACAUCAGAAUUCCAGAGCGCUCAGACCCAGCUGUGUCUGACCCAGGAGAGAGAGAGGGAGGCCAAUGAGAAAGUGCAGAGAGUCUGUGGGAUCAUCGCCCUCAUAAGCACAGGUUUACUCACCCCGACCAAUCACAUGACACCACACACAGGCUUCUGUUUGCCGGAGUAAAGGCAGGCGGAUAUUUGGAGGAUUUGGGCAUUGACACCAGCAUGGAUGUCUCACCCACUUUAAGAAGUGUCUACAUCCACUCUCCGCAUCUUUCCGUUCCUCCAAGAGCGCCCUUGUGUUGGAGCGGCUGGUGGAGGUGUUACGGAAGAAAGUGGGCACUGGCAGUGUCCGGAAAGUCAUCUGACCGACUGGCCGUCGGGCGACCCGAGCAGACGGCCACAUCUGGUGACCAGGCUGCAGCGUUUAACUCUGAGCAAACAGCCGAAGCCUGGCCUGGGCAAACACAGGCUGGAAGUGGCGUUCUUUCUCUCAGCCCUGUUCUCAUUCCAGCCCAAGCUCAGAAACGCCAUCGUAAAUGUUUAACCACAUUCUCUCUGCAGUCACCAAUGAAACUACUGCAGCCAGCCCUUUACCUCCACACUCUAUCUGCUACUCCAAAGGUUUUCUUUCUUUCGUUCUUUCUUCUCCUCUCGGUCGAUUUUUACUUGCAUUGUGACGUUAAGUCUGGUUAAACAAGGGAGAUUUGAUUGGACGAUUACUUUGUGAGGUACUGAGACUUUAUUUUUCAUAGAAAGCCAGCUAUUUUUGGACAAAGCUGGGAUUUGGGGAUGGACGAACUGGACUAUAGAUAUUUGACAUUUUUCCCAAAUGAAUAAAGGGAGUUAUAACAACAAUAUCAGUCGACGCAAUCAGUAUUUAUGAUCAUGAAUGCUUGUUCGGUGUUUACUCUUAAAUGUUAUUUAAUAAUAAACUGUUUCUGUGAUUAACAAUUAGUGUUUUUAGAUACAUUGGCAAUCAAAUUAUGCAGUCCACCAAUAGAGAAUAUAGUUGUAUAAUUGUUAAAUAUUUGUUCGUUUUACAUGACUCACAUGAACCCUCUUAUUUAUUAAGUAAAUAUGAAAUGUCUUUUUGUCUUAAUUUUUUUCUAAAUUUGUUUUUAACUCAUAAUCAUGUUCUAAACACAACUAUUCAAUCAAACCCAUAAAUAACACACUUUUUAAUUCAAGUUACAUACAUUAAAUAUUGUGCUGGGUGAAAUAGUGUUGAAAUAUUUGCAAUUAUUCUUUACUCUUAAUACUUUUUAAUGUGUUCUUAAAAUUAGUAUUGUUUAUUGCAAACACGAUUUAAGAUCAUAUCCCAACAUUUUUAGUAACAAAAAAAAGGCAGCUAAUUUUGGAAGUGCACAAUCAGAUAUACAGUAUAUUGUGGGAAUGGCAGUUCUGAAAAAAAGGGGGUUGAUGAUUCUUUGAAUUCUUAUUAAUGUGUUUCCAGUGUUUAAUGGGAACUGCUUUGCAUGCUGAUAAUUUACAAACAUAAAAUGGGCCAAAGAGAUCUUUCGACCUUUACCAACGACUAGAUACCCCAAACAAUUAUAUAAGCAUGCUUAAUGUUGCCUUUCCCUGUCCGUCCUUCAGCAGAGCUCUUCUUCAGCCUGAUCGAUUAUGUACUCAGAAAUAUGUUAGAUGCACCGGUGAAUAAAGAAAGGGCUGUUUAGGCCAGACGUGCCGCUGAGUGACCCUCCCCUCAAAUAAACGCCCGACACCAGGACAAGCUUGUCGAUUUUCC